GCACCGGCUAACUCCGUGCCAGCAGCCGCGGUAAUACGGAGGGUGCGAGCGUUAAUCGGAAUUACUGGGCGUAAAGCGCAUGCAGGUGGUUUGUUAAGUCAGAUGUGAAAGCCCGGGGCUCAACCUCGGAAUUGCAUUUGAAACUGGCAGGCUAGAGUACUGUAGAGGGGGGUAGAAUUUCAGGUGUAGCGGUGAAAUGCGUAGAGAUCUGAAGGAAUACCGGUGGCGAAGGCGGCCCCCUGGACAGAUACUGACACUCAGAUGCGAAAGCGUGGGGAGCAAACAGGAUUAGAUACCCUGGUAGUCCACGCCGUAAACGAUGUCUACUUGGAGGUUGUGGCCUUGAGCCGUGGCUUUCGGAGCUAACGCGUUAAGUAGACCGCCUGGGGAGUACGGUCGCAAGAUUAAAACUCAAAUGAAUUGACGGGGGCCCGCACAAGCGGUGGAGCAUGUGGUUUAAUUCGAUGCAACGCGAAGAACCUUACCUACUCUUGACAUCCAGAGAACUUAGCAGAGAUGCUUUGGUGCCUUCGGGAACUCUGAGACAGGUGCUGCAUGGCUGUCGUCAGCUCGUGUUGUGAAAUGUUGGGUUAAGUCCCGCAACGAGCGCAACCCUUAUCCUUGUUUGCCAGCGAGUAAUGUCGGGAACUCCAGGGAGACUGCCGGUGAUAAACCGGAGGAAGGUGGGGACGACGUCAAGUCAUCAUGGCCCUUACGAGUAGGGCUACACACGUGCUACAAUGGCGCAUACAGAGGGCGGCCAACUUGCGAAAGUGAGCGAAUCCCAAAAAGUGCGUCGUAGUCCGGAUUGGAGUCUGCAACUCGACUCCAUGAAGUCGGAAUCGCUAGUAAUCGUGAAUCAGAAUGUCACGGUGAAUACGUUCCCGGGCCUUGUACACACCGCCCGUCACACCAUGGGAGUGGGCUGCAAAAGAAGCAGGUAGUUUAACCUUCGGGAGGACGCUUGCCACUUUGUGGUUCAUGACUGGGGUGAAGUCGUAACAAGGUAGCGCUAGGGGAACCUGGCGCUGGAUCACCUCCUUA
RNAcentral lists this ribosomal RNA (1044 nucleotides) under Vibrio fluvialis. RNAcentral's name for it is "bacterial SSU rRNA". It matches the Rfam family "Bacterial small subunit ribosomal RNA", at positions 490 to 1533 of the family's 1533-position model. Lineage: Bacteria; Pseudomonadati; Pseudomonadota; Gammaproteobacteria; Vibrionales; Vibrionaceae. The record is from RNAcentral.